UAGCUAGUUGGUAGGGUAAAGGCCUACCAAGGCGACGAUCGGUAGCUGGUCUGAGAGGAUGACCAGCCACACUGGAACUGAGACACGGUCCAGACUCCUACGGGAGGCAGCAGUGGGGAAUAUUGGACAAUGGGGGCAACCCUGAUCCAGCAAUGCCGCGUGUGUGAAGAAGGCCUGAGGGUUGUAAAGCACUUUCAGUGGGGAGGAGGGUUUAAUGGUUAAGAGCUGUUAGAUUGGACGUUACCCACAGAAGAAGCACCGGCUAACUCCGUGCCAGCAGCCGCGGUAAUACGGAGGGUGCGAGCGUUAAUCGGAAUUACUGGGCGUAAAGAGUGCGUAGGUGGUUUAUUAAGUUAUCUGUGAAAUCCCUGGGCUCAACCUGGGCAGGUCAGAUAAGACUGGUAGACUCGAGUAUGGGAGAGGGUAGUGGAAUUUCCGGUGUAGCGGUGAAAUGCGUAGAGAUCGGAAGGAACACCAGUGGCGAAGGCGGCUACCUGGCCUAAUACUGACACUGAGGCACGAAAGCGUGGGGAGCAAACAGGAUUAGAUACCCUGGUAGUCCACGCUGUAAACGAUGUCAACUAGCUGUUGGAUAUAUGAAUAUAUUUAGUGGCGA
Molecule: ribosomal RNA, 616 nt
Filed under: uncultured Legionella sp.
Lineage: Bacteria; Pseudomonadati; Pseudomonadota; Gammaproteobacteria; Legionellales; Legionellaceae
Description: bacterial SSU rRNA
Rfam family: Bacterial small subunit ribosomal RNA
Source: RNAcentral